AUUGAACGCUGGCGGCAUGCUUUACACAUGCAAGUCGAACGGCAGCGCGGGGCAACCUGGCGGCGAGUGGCGAACGGGCGAGUAAUAUAUCGGAACGUACCCAGAAGUGGGGGAUAACGUAGCGAAAGUUACGCUAAUACCGCAUACGAUCUACGGAUGAAAGGAGGGGACCGCAAGGCCUUAUGCUUUUGGAGCGGCCGAGAUCUGAUUAGCUAGUUGGCGAGGUAAAGGCUCACCAAGGCGACGAUCAGUAGCUGGUCUGAGAGGACGACCAGCCACACUGGAACUGAGACACGGUCCAGACUCCUACGGGAGGCAGCAGUGGGGAAUUUUGGACAAUGGGCGCAAGCCUGAUCCAGCAAUGCCGCGUGAGUGAAGAAGGCCUUCGGGUUGUAAAGCUCUUUUGUCAGGGAAGAAACGGUAGAGGCUAAUAUCCUUUGCUAAUGACGGUACCUGAAGAAUAAGCACCGGCUAACUACGUG
This 482-nucleotide ribosomal RNA is filed under the name uncultured bacterium. RNAcentral's name for it is "partial 16S ribosomal RNA". It matches the Rfam family "Bacterial small subunit ribosomal RNA", at positions 30 to 507 of the family's 1533-position model. The record is from RNAcentral.